UAAAAUCAUACCACGAAGUUUAUGGGUAAUAUAAAGCAAUAUCCUAUUAUGAGAGAAGUUUCAUUAUGCUUGUUAAUUUGUAGUCACUUAAGUGGGCAAUUGGUUAGUGUUGUGGAAUUAUUGUUCCCAUAUGUUGUAAGGAUGUAUCUGAUUUUGGUGUAAAUUCAUUCACCUAAAGGUGGUGUUGUUUUUUCUUUUUUCUAUAUUAAAAUUAGAGGGUAGCACA
This 226-nucleotide long non-coding RNA is filed under the name Theobroma cacao (cacao). RNAcentral's name for it is "long non-coding RNA (TCAC_LNC005222)". Lineage: Eukaryota; Viridiplantae; Streptophyta; Magnoliopsida; Malvales; Malvaceae. The record is from RNAcentral.